This is a long non-coding RNA of Eptesicus fuscus (big brown bat), 757 nucleotides long. RefSeq lists it as uncharacterized. The record is from RefSeq and is a predicted model, not a curated record. The transcript has 4 exons. NCBI's taxonomy places the organism in Eukaryota, Metazoa, Chordata, Mammalia, Chiroptera, Vespertilionidae.
GACCACGAACUCCCCCGGCGUCCCCCCCCCCAGUGCCCCUCUCUGGAGAUGGCUUUGGGAGGAGCGGGGAAGUGUCAGCUCUGUUGUCGGUCGCUCCGCGUCGCCGCCUCUCCCCGGCCCCUCCCGGAGAUGCGGUCGGCUGGAGAGUGGCGCCUGGGGCCAGAUCCUCUCUCUCCGCGAAGGGACGGUGUGGCUCCGCUGGCCGCGUGUGUAGGUCGUGACUCCUUGGAGUUUGCAGCCUUCCGGUCUGGGGGCGGGGCCGCGUCUUCAGGUGAAAAAAUUGAAGUCACUGGAAUACAUUUAGAGUUUACAGCUUUCAGAAAUCAAGCCUGCAUUUUUAACAUGUCCAAAACUCCCAGUAAAAAUAAAAACCAAGACAAGCCACAUAAAAGCAACCUAAAAAUUAAACUGUCAUCAUAUUAUUUGUUUUAAAACUAUGGAGUAAUAUAUCUGAGGAAGAUUUCUCUCAAAAUUGUUUUUCUCAAUUUCAAGAAUAAGUCACAUGGCACUACCCAGAAGUGCCUCCUGGCACCCCCUAGUACUCUCCACACUGCUGUCUACUGCUCAGAGAUAAGGGAAAAAGUUAUUUUAUUUCUGUGAAUCUUAAUUUCCACCUCUGUAAAGUUAGUUGAUUAUUUCUACCUCUUUGGAUUAUUAUGAUUAAAUACAAUUAUCAGCAAAAAAAAAUGUAUACACACUUUGACAGCUGAUGGCUCAAUUUUGAAAAUGAAAUGUAUUUUAAUAAAUACUGCCUUUA